This is an RNA transcript of Zea mays, 1539 nucleotides long. RefSeq lists it as uncharacterized. The record is from RefSeq and is marked validated. The transcript is spliced from 4 exons. NCBI's taxonomy places the organism in Eukaryota, Viridiplantae, Streptophyta, Magnoliopsida, Poales, Poaceae.
CGGCGUUGCCACUUCCACCGCUUCUGCUCCCCUUCGCCCUGCUUCAUGUUCCGCGAUUCCCUUCGCACACCCUCCCGCUGCCGCCGCUGUUCUCCUACCACCCGUCCUCCCGCGCUGGGUAGCGGUACUAAUUUAGGAUCUGAUACACUUUCUGUGCGGAAGCGCGGUCCUGCUAAAUCCGUGUGCCGGGGUUCCAGAUUGCAGGAGCUUGCCUUGUAGCGUCGGGUUAUGCUGGUUGCAGCGAGUGGCUAAGCAGAGAUCCAGUCGCGGCGCGCUGCUUGCUUGCUUCCAACCCUGGGUGCUUGUGCUACUCUUUCAAGCUCGUGAUCUCAUCAUGGGCAAUGCAGCAUGCUCGUUCUUACUAGUUACUAAGUUUAUUUAUCCAUACAACCCAUGUUAUAAGUUGGGUCAGGAACUCAGGAUACGGAUACUGUUAUGCAGCUGUGCAGGCAGGGCCACAGAACAAGUUUGUUUGUACACAGACUCAAGAAAUGGAAAACAAAUUCUUGUUAUUUGGGAAAACAACUUCUUGUUAUUUGCGUUUGCACACCAUUUUGAGUUGAUUUCAUCCACUGAAGACUAAAGAGUGAAGUAAUAAGGUCGUGUACACUUGAUUUUCCCCUCCUCUGGUUGGUUGCACAGGACCAUGAUCUGGUCGUUGAGCCGAGGUCAUUCACCGGUUCCACUCAGCCCAGCAGACCGGAUGUAAGGCCAUCGUCUUCAUCGUCCAGCGAUAAUGCCAGGGCACAUAAUUCAGGUAACCGUAUGUGGAUAUGUUUCUGUAUCCUUGGCACAGUCAGUAUCCAGUGCCAUUUAUCAAUACUGUCAAUGUCUUCUUCAGGAGAUACCUGGAAGAGCCUUGUCUUUGGCUGGGUAAACACAAAUAAUACUACGCUGAGCCUCCUCAGUUCAAAUGCUGAAAGCGCCUUGGGUUUUCUUCACUGUUCUCGUGGCGCGGUAGCAUAAUUCAGACAUUCAUGUACUGGGAGCUGAGGGAUUAGUACGAGGCCAUUUAUGCUGUUUUGCUGCAUGUAAUUCUUAACCUCUGCAUCUCUGCUGGCAAACGUACUGAUUUACCCUGUUUGCUGUAUCGUUUCAAUCCCAAGCGAUCCAAUCUAUCUUCUGCCCUGCUUUUUGUCCAUCAACAACCAGCUAGAACUUGGUUGGCAAUAAGAACUAAGAAGCGUUGAAGCCGAUGUAUCAUGCUGCUCCCGUGACAUCCAGACGCCCCGUUCCUCCUUCCAGACGCCCAUUUCUGGGAUCCAAAUAUGGUGGCUCUGGUAGGGUGGUUUAAGAUCAUGUAUCUGCUGCUGAAUAGCUGAGCUGCCCGGGUUGUCUGCACAGAACUUAGCACAGCCGCUGUGUUCUUAUGUAAUGCUGCAGCAGUGCGCGGGAUAAGUUUUCUGCAGAAAAAUAGCAUUCAUUGUAUUUGUCUGGAACGUAUGAUCCCAAUUUGAUAACUGUAGCUUCUGCUAUUUGCUGUCAUAAUAAGCAGUCUGGAACGUAUGCGUGGCAGGCCCUGCUGCCUGUACGCGUCUC